AAACAGCUAUGGGUCAAGUCUGAUAUCUUUAGGAGGGGCGAAGCUCCUCUUAUUGUGAGGGCGAGUUAUAUAACACCAUAGGACUGGCCGUCCCAUAUGAAAAGAUUAUAUUAGAAUUGAAUGAAGCUUUGUUUAUAUAUUGAUAAUGACAGUAUAUAUAUCGUGUCUUGACUAAUUGCGUGCCAGCAGUCGCGGUAAUACGUAAGAGACUAGUGUUAUUCAUCUUAAUUAGGUUUAAAGGGUACCCAGACGGUCAAUAUAGCUUAUAAAAUGUUAGUACUUGACUAGAGUUUUAUGUAAGAGGGCAGUACUUGAGGAGGAGAGAUGAAAUUUCGUGAUACCAAAGGGACUCUGUAAAGGCGAAGGCAGCCCUCUAUGUAAAAACUGACGUUGAAGGACGAAGGCACAGAGAACAAACAGGAUUAGAUACCCAAGUAGUCUUUGCAGUAAAUGAUGAAUGCCAUAGGUUAGAUGGGUGGGCUCGUAUAGUUGAGUUAGUUUAGCAAACUAAUGAUCUAGACGAGCCCACCGUAUAUUUGGUCUAUAAAUGAAAGUGUAAG
This 560-nucleotide ribosomal RNA is filed under the name Fusarium oxysporum f. sp. ciceris. RNAcentral's name for it is "SSU rRNA". It matches the Rfam family "Bacterial small subunit ribosomal RNA", at positions 333 to 864 of the family's 1533-position model. Lineage: Eukaryota; Fungi; Ascomycota; Sordariomycetes; Hypocreales; Nectriaceae. The record is from RNAcentral.